GCUGGCGGCAUGCCUCAUACAUGCAAGUCGAACGAAAUCUUCGGAUUUAGUGGCGCACGGGUGAGUAACAUGUGGGAAUCUACCUAAAGGUUCGGAAUAACUGCGGGAAACUGUAGCUAAUACCGGAUGUGUCUGCAAAGAGAAAGAUUUAUCGCCUUUAGAUGAGCCCGCACUAGAUUAGCUAGUUGGUGAGGUAAUUGCUCCACCAAGGCUACGAUCUAUAGCUGAUUUGAGAGGAUGAUCAGCCACACUGGGACUGAGACACGGCCCAGACUCCUACGGGAGGCAGCAGUAGGGAAUAUUGGACAAUGGGGGAAACCCUGAUCCAGCAAUGCCGCGUGAGUGAAGAAGGCCUUCGGGUUGUAAAACUCUUUCAUCAAUGAUGAUAAUGACAUUAGUUGAAGAAGAAGCUCCGGCUAACUUCGUGCCAGCAGCCGCGGUAAUACGAAGGGGGCUAGCGUUGUUCGGAAUCACUGGGCGUAAAGCGUAUGUAGGCGGAUCAAAAAGUUAGAUGUGAAAUCCCUGGGCUCAACCCAGGAACUGCAUUUAAAACUAGUGAUCUAGAAUUUGGUAAGGGUUAGUAGAAUUUCCAGUGUAGAGGUGAAAUUCGUAGAUAUUGGAAAGAAUACCAGAAGCGAAGGCGACUAACUAGGCCAUUUUUGACGCUGAGAUACGAAAGCGUGGGUAGCAAACAGGAUUAGAUACCCUGGUAGUCCACGCAGUAAACGAUGAGUGCUAGUCGCUGGUGCAAUAGUAUCAGUGUCGAAGCUAACGCAUUAAGCACUCCGCCUGG
Molecule: ribosomal RNA, 793 nt
Filed under: uncultured Alphaproteobacteria bacterium
Lineage: Bacteria; Pseudomonadati; Pseudomonadota; Alphaproteobacteria
Description: bacterial SSU rRNA
Rfam family: Bacterial small subunit ribosomal RNA
Source: RNAcentral